CGAAAUGCGAUAAGUAGUGUGAAUUGCAGACUUUAGUGAAUCAUCGAAUCUUUGAACGCACAUUGCGCCCCUUGGUAUUCCAUUGGGCAUGCCUGUUCGAGCGUCAUGUACCCCCUCAAGCCCCCCUCGGCUUGGUGUUGGGCGUCUGUCCGCGCGCGUCGGCGUCACGGCCGCGCGGACUCGCCUCAAAGGUAUCGGCAGCGGCCUCGAGGACCUCCUUCCGCGCAGCACAGCGCGCUUCCGGACCGGUUCCGACGGGCUCGCGUCCCCCAGGGACGAACCCCCCAAGCUUUGACCUCGAAUCAGGUAGGGAUACCCGCUGAACUUAAGC
This 331-nucleotide unclassified non-coding RNA is filed under the name plant metagenome. RNAcentral describes it as "partial contains 5.8S ribosomal RNA, internal transcribed spacer 2, and large subunit ribosomal RNA". The stretch from base 1 to 106 matches the Rfam family "5.8S ribosomal RNA", at positions 49 to 154 of the family's 154-position model. The record is from RNAcentral.